RNAcentral lists this ribosomal RNA (524 nucleotides) under uncultured Arcobacter sp. RNAcentral's name for it is "bacterial SSU rRNA". It matches the Rfam family "Bacterial small subunit ribosomal RNA", at positions 38 to 578 of the family's 1533-position model. The record is from RNAcentral. Lineage: Bacteria; Pseudomonadati; Campylobacterota; Epsilonproteobacteria; Campylobacterales; Arcobacteraceae.
GGUGGCGGGUGCUUACACAUGCAGUCGAACGAGACGGGUCUUACUGCUAAGACUGUCGCUAAGUGGCGCACGGGUGAGUAAUGUAUAGAUACGUGCCUCUUACAAGGGAAUAACAGUUGGAAACGACUGCUAAUGCCCUAUAUGCCUUUAGAACAAAAGUUCGCAAGGGAAAGUUUUUUCGGUAAGAGAUCGGUCUGUAUGGUAUCAGCUAGUUGGUGAGGUAAUGGCUCACCAAGGCAAUGACGCCUAACUGGUUUGAGAGGAUGAUCAGUCACACUGGAACUGAGACACGGUCCAGACUCCUACGGGAGGCAGCAGUGGGGAAUAUUGCACAAUGGGCGAAAGCCUGAUGCAGCAACGCCGCGUGGAGGAUGACACAUUUCGGUGCGUAAACUCCUUUUAUAUAUGAAGAUAAUGACGGUAAUAUAUGAAUAAGCGCCGGCUAACUCCGUGCCAGCAGCCGCGGUAAUACGGAGGGCGCAAGCGUUACUCGGAAUCACUGGGCGUAAAGAGCGUGUAGGCGG